Molecule: small RNA, 76 nt
Filed under: Xanthomonas bromi
Lineage: Bacteria; Pseudomonadati; Pseudomonadota; Gammaproteobacteria; Lysobacterales; Lysobacteraceae
Description: sX9 sRNA
Rfam family: Xanthomonas sRNA sX9
Source: RNAcentral
AUGCACCACUCGCACACUCCGGUGCGUCCGCGCUAUCCACAUCCAUCUGUCGACUGACGGCUACGGUGUCCUAGCC